Molecule: long non-coding RNA, 7721 nt
Organism: Salmo trutta (river trout)
Lineage: Eukaryota; Metazoa; Chordata; Actinopteri; Salmoniformes; Salmonidae
Product: Down syndrome cell adhesion molecule homolog
Source: Ensembl
UGUUAACCAGCUCUUCAGGUGCGCCUUCUUUAACUGCAAAUGUACCCUCCCUGCUGUACAUGCUCUCACCUAGCGCCUAGGAGGACUGGCUGGCGCCUCUGCUCCUUUAAGGCAAUGAGGAAUUAAAGUGGCUGCAGAGGCAGGGGAGAGGGUUAUGAGGCAGCGAGGGUUACCGCAUGGACCAACGCGAUUAAAAGGGCAGUGGGAAGAUGCGCGUGCUUGCCUCUUGCUGGACGGAGAGAGGUGGUGAAGAUGGUCUGACUUCAGCUCAUCCGGAUUGGGUUUUCAUUCUUAUUGAACUGACCGUUUACUCUUUAUUUUAAGUUAUUUUAUUUGUCACAUUUUGUUUCCCAACCUGCUUCUAUUUUUCAGUUUUCGAUUUAAGAUGCGUUUUUUGGAUUCCACAUUGUUAUUGUUUAGGUGUCCCCGUUUUAACACCCAGACAUUUAUUUGAGGACCUAUCGUUGCCCGCGUGCCACUACCCUGACUCAGCAUCACACCUGGACUGCAGGCGAGCACUGUAGCCCCCUCGAGCAUCCCUUUGAAGAGCAGGGGAAGUAGCAAGGCACGGAGGACCAGAGUAGAGCUGAGCAGAGUCCGAUCACAGCUUUAACCAAGACAAUCAGAGAUACAUAUACUAUAUCCUCCAAGCGUAAAGAGGGGUCGGAAAGGGGAGAGGAAGAGUAGGCUACGAGAGUACCAGGGAGGGAGUUAUAGAGAAACAAGGAGGAGACGUUGAAGACAUCAGAUCAGCAGAGAGUUGGACUGGUUACUACAAGCUAGUAGCAAAUGUUUAACAUUACACCUGCCACAGAACAUAAUUAUAGGAAGGCAGCGGUCAAAGAGUGCGGAGGAAGACGAGAAAGCAUAGCUUUGGGGGAUUUGAACGGAGCGGGGCAUGUGGAUAUUUGCAGUUAUCUUUUUCCAGAGCAUCUUAAAUGUUUUUAGUGAAGAUCUACGUUCCAGCUUAUAUUUUGUCAAUGCAUCUUUGCAAGAGGUAGUGUUUGCCAGCACCACAGGGACCCUGGUGCCCUGUCCCGCUGCAGGGGUGCCCCCCGCCUCGCUGCGCUGGUACCUGGCCACUGAAGAGGAGAUCUACGAUGUGCCCGGGAUCCGCCACGUGCACCCCAAUGGCACUCUCCAGAUCUUUAACUUCCUCCCCUCCAGCUUUAGUAAGCUUAUCCAUGACAAUACCUACUAUUGCACAGCUGAAAAUCCUUCAGGGAAAAUAAGAAGUCAAGAUGUCCACAUUAAGGCCGUAUUUCGGGAACCCUACACGGUUCGGGUGGAGGACCAGAAAGCCAUGAGAGGCAAUGUAGCGGUCUUCAAGUGCAUUAUCCCAGCCUCCGUGGAGGCUUACGUCACUGUCGUAUCGUGGGAGAAAGACACAGUCUCACUAUCCUCAGGACCUAGAGUUCUCAUCACAACCACAGGAGCCUUGUAUAUUCUGGAUGUCCAGAAUGAGGAUGGACUGUAUAACUACCGCUGUACCACACGGCAUCGCUACACUGGCGAGACCAGGCAAAGCAACAGCGCCCGGCUUUUUGUGUCAGAUCCCACUAACUCAGAGCCGGGGAUUCUGGAUGGCUUUGACCGUCGGGAGGUCAUGGCGUCCCAUCGGGUAGAGCUGCCCUGUAAGGCGUCGGGCCAUCCCAUGCCCAAGUACCGCUGGCUGAAGGACAACAGCCCCCUGGAGCCCGACACACGUUUCCGCCAGAGUGUCACGGGCUUGCUGAUAGAGAGCGCCCAGCCCACCGACUCUGGCACCUACGUGUGUGAGGUGUGGAACAGCUAUGGCAACGCUGAGGUGGUGGGCCGGCUGCUGGUCAAACAGCCCCUGAAGGCGGUGGUCAGCCCACGAAAGGUGAAGGGCAGCGUGGGUAGUAAGGUGUCCUUGCAUUGCAGUGUCAGUGGCUCUGAUGAGUACGAGCUGUCCUGGUACCGUAACGGAGAGAUCAUCUACCCCGGCAACAACGUGCGGAUCACAGGCAUCAGCAGGGAGAACCUGAUCAUGGAGGGCAUGGCCAAGAGCGACGGAGGGGCCUACCAAUGUUUCGCCAGGAAGAACAAAAUGUCCGCUCAGGAUUUUGUUCCGGUCAUCUUGGAGGACGGCACUCCAAAGAUUCUGUUCUCCUUCAGUGAGAAGGUGGUCAACCCCAACGAACCGGUCUUCCUGGUGUGUAACGUCAAAGGCACUCCCCCUCCCUCCUGCACCUGGAACCUGGACGACGACCCGGUCAUCAAGGACAACCACCACCACCCUGGCCACUACGAGACCAAUGAGGGCCACGUGGUCAGCCAGCUGAACAUCACUCACACCAAGGAGGUGGACGGAGGGGUGUAUCGCUGCACCUGCAGGAACUCGGCCGGGGCGGUCUACCACCAGGCUCGAAUAAACGUAAGAGGGGCUGCCAGCAUCCGUCCAAUGAAAAACAUCACGGCCAUCGCAGGGCGGGACGCGUACGUCCACUGUCGCGUUAUUGGCUACCCGUAUUAUUCCAUCAAGUGGUAUAAGAACUCCCACCUGCUCCCCUUCAACCACAGGCAGCGGGCCUUCGAGAACAACGGCACUCUGAAGCUGUCUAACGUGCAGGAGCUGGACCAGGGAGAGUACAAUUGCAGGGUAUUGGUCAAACCUCACCAAGAGACCAAUCAGAGCGUCCAUCUCAGUGUCAAAGUUCCACCGUACAUCCAGCCCUUUGCAUUCCAGCGGUUCUCCAUUGGCCAGCGUGUCUUCAUCCCCUGCGUGGUAAUGUCAGGUGACCAGCCCCUGGACAUCACAUGGCAGAAGGACGGGCGGCCAAUCCCUGCCAGUCUGGGGGUCACCAUCGACAACAUAGAGUUCACCAGCUCACUGCGGAUCUCCAACCUGUCCCCAGACCACAACGGAAACUACACCUGCAUUGCACGCAACGAGGCUGCAGCCGUUGAGCACCAGAGUCAGCUCAUUGUCCGGGUUCCUCCCCAGUUUGUGGUGCAGCCCACAGACCAGGAUGGGAUCUAUGGCAAAACUGUGACCCUCAACUGCUCUGCUGAGGGUUAUCCACGCCCCACCCUCGUAUGGAAGCACUCCAAAGGUAACGGGGUUCCCCAGUUCCAGCCCAUCGCCCUGAACUCUGGCUCCCGUAUCCAGCUGCUGGUCAACGGCUCUCUGCUCAUCAAACACGUGCUGGAGGAGGACAGCGGCUACUACCUGUGUAAGGUCAGCAACGAUGUGGGAGCUGACGUCAGCAAGUCCAUGUACCUCACCGUCAAAAUCCCGGCCAUGAUCACGUCGUACCCCAACACCACCAUGGCCACGGUGGGCCAGCAGAAGGAGAUGAGCUGCACGGCCCACGGGGAAAAGCCCAUCAUGGUGCGCUGGGAGAAGGAGGAACGCAUCAUCAACCCAGAGACCAGCCGCUACACCGUCGUGGUCAAAGAGGUGGCUGACGAGGUCAUCUCCACUCUGAAGAUUUUGCCCACUGUUCGGGAAGAUUCUGGAUUCUUCUCCUGCCAUGCAAUCAACUCCUAUGGUGAAGACAGAGGGAUCAUUCAGUUAACAGUGCAAGAACCUCCAGACCCUCCCGAGGUGGAGAUCCGAGAGGUCAGAGACCGGACAAUCGCCCUCCGCUGGACCAUGGGCUUCGACGGAAACAGCCCUAUCACAGGAUAUGACAUUGAGUGCAAGAACAAAUCAGGUAGGGCUGAUGCUAAUAGGUUCAUUGUGUUUCUGAACCAGGCCACCAUUAUAGACCUGCACCCCUCCUCCACCUACAACAUCCGCAUUUUCGCCAAGAACGACAUCGGCAAGAGCGACACCAGCAACGAGCUCACUAUCACCACUGACGAAGCAGCCCCCGAUGGCCCUCCACAGGAAGUACAACUGGAGGCCACCUCUCCACAAAGCAUCAAAGUCACCUGGAAGGCCCCCCACAAGCACCUUCAGAACGGGGUGAUCCGGGGCUACCAGGUGGGUUACAGAGAGUACAGCUCUGGAGGCAGCUUCCAGUUUAACAUCAUCAGCAUGGACACCACAGGGGACAGCAGCGAGAGCAUCACCCUGGACAACCUGAGGAAGUUCACUGAGUACGGGGUGGUGGUGCAGGCGGCUAACCGUGCUGGCACCGGGCCCUCCUCUCAGGAGGUCAUCACCAAAACACUGGAGGAUGUCCCCUCGCGUCCCCCUGAGAAUGUCCUGGCCAUGGCCAAGUCUCCAGAAGUCAUCUCUCUGUCCUGGUUGACCCUGCCCAAAGAGGCCCUGAAUGGAAACCUGCAGGGCUACCGAGUCAUCUACUGGGCCAACCUGGCAGAUGGAGAGUUGGGAGAGAUCAGGAACGUGACCACCUCCUACCCAUCUCUGGAACUGGAUGGUCUGGAGAAAUACACCAACUACAGCAUCCAGGUUCUGGCCUUCACCCGGGCAGGGGACGGGGUGCGCAGCGAGCAGAUCUUCACCCGGACCAAGGAAGACAUCCCUGGGCCUCCAGCGGGGGUUAAGGCCGCAGCCUCCACCAGCUCCGUGGUGUUUGUGUCCUGGCUCCCUCCUCUCAAACUCAACGGCAUUAUCAGGAAGUACAUUGUCUUCUGCUCCAACCACCCCACGGUGAUGAGUGAGUUUGAGGCUUCUCCUGAUGUGUAUUUCUACAGAGUGCCAAACCUGGCCCGCAACAGGAAGUACAGCAUCUGGGUGGUUGCCGUGACAGCCGCUGGGCGAGGCAACAGCAGUGAGACCAUCACAGUGGAACCUCGGGCCAAAGCUCCGGCCAGGAUCCUGACGUUCAACGGAACAGUGACUACACCCUGGAUGAGGGACAUCGUCCUGCCCUGCAAGGCGGUCGGAGAUCCACCCCCCACCAUCAAGUGGCUGAAGGGAAACAAUGGUACCCCUGCUCCUGUUCUGAUUGACGGACGCCACAGUGUCCAUAGCAACGCUAGUUUCAUCAUCCGGACGGUGAAAGCAGAGGACUCUGGGAACUACAGCUGUGUGGCCAGCAACAACUGGGGCUCUGAUGAAAUCACGCUGAACCUACAGGUUCAAGUUCCUCCAGACCAACCACGCCUCACAGUUACCAAGACAACUACCACGUCAAUCACUCUGUCCUGGAUACCUGGGGACAACGGAGGAAGCUCCAUCAGAGGCUACAUCCUGCAGUACUCAGAGGACAACAGUGAGCAGUGGGGCAGCUUUCCCAUCAGCCCUAGCGAGCGCUCGUACCGUCUGGAGAACCUGAAGUGUGGCACCUGGUACAAGUUCACCCUGACUGCUCAGAACGGAGUGGGCCCCGGACGCAUCAGUGAGAUCAUUGAAGCGAAGACCCACGGAAAAGAGCCCCAGUUUGCCAAAGAACAUGAGCUGUUUGCCAGCAUCAACUCCACCCGGGUCAGGCUCAAUCUAAUUGGGUGGAACAAUGGUGGCUGCCCAAUCACCUCGUUCACCCUGGAGUACCAUCCGAUGGACACGGCAACGUGGACCACGGCUCAGCGCACCUCGCUAACCAAGAGCUACAUCCUGUAUGACCUGGCGGAGGCCACCUGGUACGAACUGCAGAUGAAAGUGGUCAACAGCGCCGGCUCCGCCGAGAAGAAGAUCAUGUUCGCCACGCUCAACGCCGAUGGAAGCACCAUCCCUCCUUUGUUGAAGACAGUGGACCCCAUCACAGACAACAUGUCAGGCAACGAGGGGCUGAAGAUGAUGGUGACCAUCACCUGUAUCCUGGUGGCUGCUGUCAUGGUCUUCAUCCUCCUGAUGGUACUGAAGAGGAGGAGGAGGGAGCAGAGGCUCAAGAGGCUACGCGAUGCAAAAAGCCUGGCAGAAAUGCUGAUGAGUAAAAACACACGGACACCAGACACAUCCAACAAGCAGCAGACCAUGAGAAUGCACAUCGAUAUCCCCCGAGCCCAGCUGCUCAUCGAGGAGAGAGAUACUAUGGAGAUUAUUGACGACAGGUCGACGGUGCUGCUGACUGAUAAUGACUUUGGGGAGACGUCCAAACAGAAGUCGUCCACGGUCACGCACACAGUCCAUUACCAGUCCCUGUCGCAGGCCACCGGCCCACUGGUGGACGUCUCUGACGCCCGGCCUGGAACCAACCCCACAGCACGCCGCACUGCCAAAGCAGGCCCUGCAGCCAGCAGGAACCGCUAUGCCAGCCAGUGGACUCUGAACCGGCCACAACCACCCACCUCCUCCCACACCCUGAGCACAGACUGGAGACUGCCCACACCGCGCGCCACCGGCUCUGUGGACAAGGAGAGCGACAGCUACAGCGUCAGCCCAUCGCAGGACACAGACCGCGCGCGGAGCAGCAUGGUGUCGACGGAGAGCGCGUCGUCUACGUACGAAGAGCUAGCCCGGGCCUAUGAGCACGCCAAGAUGGAGGAGCACCUGCGGCACGCCAAGUUCACUAUCACAGAGUGCUUCAUCUCCGACACCUCCUCAGAGCAAAUGACGGCCGGCACCAACGAGUACACAGACAGCCUAGCAUCUAGCACGCCUUCUGAGUCAGGCAUCUGCAGGUUCACCGCCUCCCCGCCCAAGCCUCAGGACAUCAGCCGGGUCAUGAACAUGGCCGCACCAAAGGCCCACAGACCGGGUGGAGAGCUGGUGCACCUGCCCCCGUACCUACGCAUGGACUUCCUGUUAAACCGUGGCUCUGUGUCGGGAGGCCGGGGGUCCAACGGUGGUAACGGAGGAGGGGAGGCAGGGGCGUUGGGCCAGGCGUGUCUGGAGCCCCAGAAGAGCCGCACCCUGAAACGGCCCCCGCUCCUGGAGCCCACACCCAUGGAGGUGCCCACGUCCAGGGAGGUGCAGCAGUGGCAGCCAGGGACUGCCUCCACACUGCCCCAGCGUGAGCCCACUGGCCGUGAGGCCACCGGAGAUCUGGCCCAGGCACAGGCCGCCAAGCUCAGCAGCUCACAGGAGUCCCUGCUAGACUCCAGAGGACACUUAAAACAGAGCAACAACCCCUACGCAAAGUCCUACACACUGGUAUAACACAAGGAGUUACGUUACACACUCCAGGACUUGGACUGUAUACUGUACUGCAGCUCUACACAGAGAGCUGGCAUGGAACAAUGAUGAUGAUGGACACUUUUCAACAACAACUGAAGUUGUAUAUUUCUGACUCCAAGUAUUCCUUUCUUUUGUUCUUUCUCCCUUCUUUCCACUUCUGGCUCUCUCAUUUCUCAGUUUUAUUUUCUAUUUUGAGUAUUAUUUUAUUCUAAACACCAUAUGAAGAUUGCCAAAUAAUGUAUUUAAAUUUGACAGAGAAAAAUACUAUUGAAUUUAUAUCAAGGAUAAUUACAGUCAUUAUUAUUAUAUAUAAAAAUAUAGAAAUGUCUAAAAACAAGAAGAAGAGGAGGAGGACUCUGCAGGAGGAUGUUGCUUUCUUCAUUUAUUUAUUUUGUAUGUCGCAGUGUGAUCAAAUCGAUGAUUAGGUAUCUGGCCGUUUUUCAACAACGAGAGGAGCCAAGGAAAAGAACUCCAUUAAAGCUGAACCUGUCUGUCCAUGCUGUCUACUCAAUCUCCUCAGAUAGAUUGUUACUACGUUCUUCAACCUUUCCAAUGACUGCAUGGGGACUGAUCUAUGACAAUUAUAGGAAUGGCUGGGAAAUCCAAAAGAGAAUUUUGUCACACUAUGAAAAUUAUACAAUGUGAAUAUAUAUAAAAGAGAUCACUUUUAUUUGUGGAUAUUACAGGGGAAAUGAUUUGGUUAAUAAAGUCCUUAGUCAUGUUUGCA